UGCUGGAGCGAAUAGAAGUGAGCAUGCAGGCAUGAGUAGCGAUAAUUAAUGUGAGAAUCAUUAACGCCGUAAACCCAAGGUUUCCUACGCGAUGCUCGUCAUCGUAGGGUUAGUCGGGUCCUAAGUCGAGUCCGAAAGGGGUAGACGAUGGCAAAUUGGUUAAUAUUCCAAUACCAACAUUAGUGUGCGAUGGAAGGACGCUUAGGGCUAAGGGGGCUAGCGGAUGGAAGUGCUAGUCUAAGGUCGUAGGAGGUUGUACAGGCAAAUCCGUAUAACAAUACUCCGAGAACUGAAAGGCUUUUUGAAGUCUUCGGAUGGAUAGAAGAACCCCUGAUGCCGUCGAGCCAAGAAAAGUUUCUAAGUUUAGCUAAUGUUGCCCGUACCGUAAACCGACACAGGUGGGUGGGAUGAGUAUUCUAAGGCGCGUGGAAGAACUCUCUUUAAGGAACUCUGCAAAAUAGCACCGUAUCUUCGGUAUAAGGUGUGGUUCGCUUCGUACUAGGAUUUACUCCGAAAGCGAAGAAACUUACAACAAAGAGUCCCUCCCGACUGUUUACCAAAAACACAGCACUCUGCUAACUCGUAAGAGGAUGUAUAGGGUGUGACGCCUGCCCGGUGCUCGAAGGUUAAUUGAUGGGGUUAGCAUUAGCGAAGCUCUUGAUCGAAGCCCGAGUAAACGGCGGCCGUAACUAUAACGGUCCUAAGGUAGCGAAAUUCCUUGUCGGUUAAAUACCGACCUGCAUGAAUGGCGUAACGAGAUGGGAGCUGUCUCAAAGAGGGAUCCAGUGAAAUUGUAGUGGAGGUGAAAAUUCCUCCUACCCGCGGCAAGACGGAAAGACCCCGUGGACCUUUACUACAGCUUGACACUGCUACUUGGAUAAGAAUGUGCAGGAUAGGUGGGAGGCUUUGAGUAAUAGACGCUAGUUUAUUAUGAGCCAUUGUUGAGAUACCACUCUUUCUUAUUUGGGUAGCUAACCAGCUUGAGUUAUCCUCAAGUGGGACAAUGUCUGGUGGGUAGUUUGACUGGGGCGGUCGCCUCCCAAAUAAUAACGGAGGCUUACAAAGGUUGGCUCAGAACGGUUGGAAAUCGUUCGUAGAGUAUAAAGGUAUAAGCCAGCUUAACUGCAAGACAUACAAGUCAAGCAGAGACGAAAGUCGGUCUUAGUGAUCCGGUGGUUCUGUGUGGAAGGGCCAUCGCUCAAAGGAUAAAAGGUACCCCGGGGAUAACAGGCUGAUCUCCCCCAAGAGCUCACAUCGACGGGGAGGUUUGGCACCUCGAUGUCGGCUCAUCGCAUCCUGGGGCUGGAGCAGGUCCCAAGGGUAUGGCUGUUCGCCAUUUAAAGCGGUACGCGAGCUGGGUUCAGAACGUCGUGAGACAGUUCGGUCCCUAUCUGCCGUGGGCGUAAGAAGAUUGAAGAGAUUUGACCCUAGUACGAGAGGACCGGGUUGAACAAACCACUGGUGUAGCUGUUGUUCUGCCAAGAGCAUCGCAGCGUAGCUAAGUUUGGAAAGGAUAAACGCUGAAAGCAUCUAAGCGUGAAGCCAACUCUAAGAUGAAUCUUCUCUAAGCUCUCUAGAAGACUACUAGUUUGAUAGGCUGGGUGUGUAAUGGAUGAAAGUCCUUUAGCUGACCAGUACUAAUAGAGCGUUUGGCUUAUCUUUAAUAAAGCAU
This 1672-nucleotide ribosomal RNA is filed under the name Campylobacter jejuni. RNAcentral describes it as "partial 23S ribosomal RNA". It matches the Rfam family "Bacterial large subunit ribosomal RNA", at positions 1271 to 2925 of the family's 2925-position model. The record is from RNAcentral. Lineage: Bacteria; Pseudomonadati; Campylobacterota; Epsilonproteobacteria; Campylobacterales; Campylobacteraceae.